Podarcis raffonei (Aeolian wall lizard) is the source of this 2524-nucleotide long non-coding RNA. RefSeq lists it as uncharacterized. Lineage: Eukaryota; Metazoa; Chordata; Lepidosauria; Squamata; Lacertidae. The record is from RefSeq and is a predicted model, not a curated record. The transcript is spliced from 2 exons.
ACAGUCUUUAGCCCAGAGGUUGGCAACCCAAGGCCCAUGGGCCAGAAGCAGCCCAUGAGGGUCGCUUAACUGGCCCAUGAGCCAUCCCUGAACCGAGCUGCCCACGCGGCAAGUCUCCGCGCGCUGCGCUAAACUGGCACAGCACAGCGCAGGGACUCUCUUCUGCGGCUCUGGAAAUCGCUUCUGUGCAUGCCUAGAUGCUGGAAAUCGCGCCUGCGCACAUCUGUGGUGCCAGAAAUCGCUUCUGUGCAUGCCUAGACGCCGAAAAUCACUUCUGCUCAGGCACGAUUUUCGGCGUCUGGGCAUGCGCAAAGUGAUUUCUGGUGUUGUGGACAUGCGCAGAUGCGAUUUCUGGCGUCGCGCUGCGCCAGUCUGGCCCACAGAGGAUCUCUGCGGGAGUGAUCCGGCUGGUGCCUGGUAAGCCUUGCCGACCCCUGCUUUAGCCGGUAAACAAUGACAGUAGGUAAAUGUUAAACCAAAUGGGAAGUUCAUUUCAAGACGAUUUUCACUCUGCGUUUCAAGUACCCCCAAUCAUAGUUACAGACUUGAGAACAGACACGCUGUGAGCUCAAUCACAUACAGCCAUUACAAGCACCUGCAAAUAGCUUCUUCCUUUUCAUAUUAAAUGCCAGAAGCGCUCUCUCUCUGUGUGUGUGUGUAUUCUUAUAAUUCUCGUUCUAAUUCAGGCAUGGCACUUAAAAGAAAUUUAGAAUUAAUGCAAUCACACCGGGAAGCAAAAGAUCUUGAACAGGUCAACUGGAGUUACGAAAGGGUUUUGUUGUCCGCAGCCUGGCAUUUGCAGAAAAUUACUGACCAUCUGAAAUACUGGUUUUAAAAAAGAAGCAGCUAAGAGCACUGUUAUUUGGUGAGAUGCAAUUUAGUUUAAAAGGUGAUUGCACUGUGAUUAUAAUUCACCCCUAGUUGAUUUCUUUUAUUGUGUUAAAAACAGCCUAUAGUUCAUGUUCUCUUUUAAAAGUCCUGCAAAUUCAUAUGACGGCAGAUGUGUACUCUGUCUUCUGGAACCUGAGUCUUUAUAACUCUGAAAGCUAUUCUUAUUCAUGUAGCUAGAAACGUGUAAUCCUUCAAAACUCAUAGAGUUGGAAGGAACAUGGAGCUGGAAGUCCUACUCCCUGCAAUGCAGGAAUGUGCACCUGUCCCUUGCAGGGAUCGAACCUGCAACCUUGACGUUGUCAGCACCAUGCUCUAACCAACUGAGCUCUCCAGCUAUCCCAAUAGGGGGAAAUGUAGACACCAAAUGACCCAUUUGCCAGGCUGCAACUCCAGCUCAAGAAGAGGAGCUCCAGGGACAGCAAUUAUCUGUUCCUGCUCCCUGCAAACGUAAUAUUGGAGGGUUCCAUUUUUAAAGAUUAAAGACCCAAGUUUCUAGUCCUGCUGCCAGUUGGAACCAAUGAUUGGUACUUAGAUGUUAGCAGAGAGUUAGUGCCAAGUUGCAAAGGUGCCGGCUCUUUGUGGGCCAAUGGCUGCAAAAGGAGAUGUUUUUGGUGAAAGUGGGGUGCUUCAGAUGGACGGCGACAAGAAAAAUUCCUUCCUUUAAAAAAUCAUGGAUACUGUUUGGCUGACUUUGCAUGCAGCAGCUGCUCUGCUAUUGGUAGAUGUCAUGUUCUCCCACAAUGCCCCACGGCCCAUCUCUCUCCUCACUUGCACAAUACCUCUGGAAUAACACUGCGUCCUGGUGUUGCAUUGUUACCAGUGCGGCACUGAAGGAGAACAGAGCAAGGACUAGACUUCUGCGAGCAGGACAAUUACUUACAUCUUUGAAAGGUCACAAAAUGAACACAAGCCACUGUUGCAGGCACCGUUCAUCUGCGUCAGCCUCCACACCCAUGAAUUUCCCCCCAAUUUUCUCCUGUUCCAGAAUUUGUGUUUCCUCCCCUCCUGUUCUCCCUGCCCACUGCCCAUUUUAUUAUUCCUCUUGUGGAGGGAAAAAAAGAUGCCAAAAACUUCAGUUCAGAUUUAGCAGGCUCAGAAACAGCUGCUACAAUUAUUCUCUCUUGGUUUUGGUGCCGUGAAAUCGCAUCCAAGGCAAGACUCAAGACAAGUGUUUCAGGGUGGCUUUCAGGGACAGAAUACCAUUGAGUAACACCAGUUAUAGGAUCACAGACUUGGAAGGGACCUCAAGGGUCAUCUAUCCCAACCCCCUGGAAUGCAGGAAUCUUGACAUACGGUUCAUCCAAUUUGAAACCACACCAGAACCUGCUUAGCUUUGUAGAUGUUGCUAGGCAACAACAACGAGGGGAGAGGCUGUUGUUUUCAUACCCUGCUUAUGGCCUUCUUGAUAGCAUCUGAUUGGCUACAGUUAUAAAAGCAGAAUGUUGGAUAGGUGGAACUUUAAUCUGACUAAACAGGAGCAGGCUUUGUGAGUCACAGAGUCUGCGUAUUUCCUGUUCACAGGAAGUUUAUGUUUUGUCUAUUGCUUUCGUUUCUCUCUCUGUGCCUGAGACACUGAAGCAGGCAGUCAUGUUUUCUUUGUUCUGACCAACGCUGAAUAAAACUGUAAAUAAUG